AAAGUCCCGGCUAACUUCGUGCCAGCAGCCGCGGUAAAACGGAGGGGACAAGUGUUAUUCGGAAUGACUGGGCGUAAAGAGUUCGUAGGCGGACAUACGAGUUUGAAGGACCAACCCAUAGAACUCCUUUGGGAAAUCUUUAAUAAGCGUAUGUCUUGAGUCAGAUAGAGGAAAGUGGAAUGUCAUGUGUAGGGAUAAAAUCCGCGAAGAUGUGAUGGAAGGCCGAAAGCGAAGGCAACUUUCUGGGUCUUGACUGACGCUAAAGAACGAAAGCGUGGGUAGCGACAGGGAUUAGAGACCCCUCUAGUCCACGCCGUAAACGAUGAGUGUUCACUUUGGGUGUUUACAUCCGAGGUUUAGCUAACGCGUUAAACACUCCGCCUGGGGAGUACGGUCGCAAGGCUGAAACUCAAGGGAAUUGACGGGAGCUCGCACAAGUGGUGGAUCAUCUUGUUUAAUUCGAUAAUACGCGCAAAACCUUACCAACCCUUGACAUCUUUUU
Molecule: ribosomal RNA, 502 nt
Filed under: uncultured Chlorophyceae
Lineage: Eukaryota; Viridiplantae; Chlorophyta; Chlorophyceae
Description: partial Bacterial small subunit ribosomal RNA
Rfam family: Bacterial small subunit ribosomal RNA
Source: RNAcentral